GGCCUACCUCUUUGGGGCGAUUGAUCGUGGAGCCCCGCGAUCAAUUGCCCCAUAGAGGGAGGCC
This is a non-coding RNA of Myotis brandtii (Brandt's bat), 64 nucleotides long. Lineage: Eukaryota; Metazoa; Chordata; Mammalia; Chiroptera; Vespertilionidae. The record is from Rfam.